ACUCCUACGGGAGGCAGCAGUGGGGAAUAUUGCACAAUGGGCGCAAGCCUGAUGCGGAGACGCCGCGUGGGGGAUGAAGGCCUUCGGGUUGUAAACUCCUUUCGCUAGGGACGAAGCUUUGUGUGACGGUACCUAGAUAAGAAGCACCGGCUAACUUCGGGCAGCGGCCGCGGUAAU
RNAcentral lists this ribosomal RNA (177 nucleotides) under uncultured bacterium. Its description in RNAcentral is "partial 16S ribosomal RNA". It matches the Rfam family "Bacterial small subunit ribosomal RNA", at positions 335 to 524 of the family's 1533-position model. The record is from RNAcentral.